GGGGGGAGCAAGCGUUGUUCGGAUUUACUGGGCGUAAAGGGCGCGUAGGCGGCCACCGCAAGUCGACUGUGAAAUCUCCGGGCUUAACUCGGAACGGUCAGCCGAUACUGCGGGGCUAGAGUGCAGAAGGGGCAACUGGAAUUCUCGGUGUAGCGGUGAAAUGCGUAGAUAUCGAGAGGAACACCUGCGGCGAAGGCGGGUUGCUGGGCUGACACUGACGCUGAGGCGCGAAAGCUAGGGGAGCGAACGGGAUUAGAUACCCCGGUAGUCCUAGCCUUAAACGAUGAAUGCUUGGUGUCUGGGGUUUUAUAGUCCCCGGGUGCCGUCGCUAACGCUUUAAGCAUUCCGCCUGGGGAGCACGGUCGCAAGACUG
This 373-nucleotide ribosomal RNA is filed under the name uncultured organism. Its description in RNAcentral is "bacterial SSU rRNA". It matches the Rfam family "Bacterial small subunit ribosomal RNA", at positions 527 to 896 of the family's 1533-position model. The record is from RNAcentral.